CCUACGGGGGGCUGCAGUGGGGAAUAUUGGACAAUGGGCGAAAGCCUGAUCCAGCCAUGCCGCGUGUGUGAAGAAGGCCUUCGGGUUGUAAAGCACUUUCAGUGGGGAAGAAAGCCUUGGGGCUAAUACCCUCGAGGAAGGACAUCACCCACAGAAGAAGCACCGGCUAACUCCGUGCCAGCAGCCGCGGUAAUACGGAGGGUGCGAGCGUUAAUCGGAAUUACUGGGCGUAAAGCGCGCGUAGGCGGUCUGAUAAGCCGGUUGUGAAAGCCCCGGGCUCAACCUGGGAACGGCAUCCGGAACUGUCAGGCUAGAGUGCAGGAGAGGAAGGUAGAAUUCCCGGUGUAGCGGUGAAAUGCGUAGAGAUCGGGAGGAAUACCAGUGGCGAAGGCGGCCUUCUGGACUGACACUGACGCUGAGGUGCGAAAGCGUGGGGAGCAAACAGGAUUAGAUACCCGAGUAGUC
This 465-nucleotide ribosomal RNA is filed under the name Vreelandella stevensii. Its description in RNAcentral is "partial 16S ribosomal RNA". It matches the Rfam family "Bacterial small subunit ribosomal RNA", at positions 338 to 795 of the family's 1533-position model. Lineage: Bacteria; Pseudomonadati; Pseudomonadota; Gammaproteobacteria; Oceanospirillales; Halomonadaceae. The record is from RNAcentral.